This 74-nucleotide transfer RNA is filed under the name Filipendula x purpurea. RNAcentral describes it as "tRNA-Met". It matches the Rfam family "tRNA". Rfam says of the family: Transfer RNA (tRNA) molecules are approximately 80 nucleotides in length. Their secondary structure includes four short double-helical elements and three loops (D, anti-codon, and T loops). The record is from RNAcentral. RNAcentral also lists the same sequence under 12 other names. Lineage: Eukaryota; Viridiplantae; Streptophyta; Magnoliopsida; Rosales; Rosaceae.
CGCGGGGUAGAGCAGCAUGGUAGCUCGCAAGGCUCAUAACCUUGAGGCCACGGGUUCAAAUCCCGUCCCCGCAA